GGGUCUUAGCUCAGUGGUAGAGUAUCUGCCUUGCAAGCAGAAGGCCCAGUUCCCAGCAGCAUAUCCA
Non-coding RNA from Podarcis lilfordi (Lilford's wall lizard), 67 nucleotides. The record is from the annotation of a GenBank genome assembly. Lineage: Eukaryota; Metazoa; Chordata; Lepidosauria; Squamata; Lacertidae.